Molecule: small nucleolar RNA, 136 nt
Organism: Myxocyprinus asiaticus (Chinese sucker)
Lineage: Eukaryota; Metazoa; Chordata; Actinopteri; Cypriniformes; Catostomidae
Product: small nucleolar RNA SNORA5
Exons: 1
Source: RefSeq, a predicted model, not a curated record
UGCAGCCCUGUCAAAUUCAGUGCUUCCUCCUCUGUGGACCGUACUGGCCAAAAUGGCUGCAACAGUGAAUUUGUAGUCUAUGGGCCCCAUAUUCUUCCAUAGUAGAUCCUGGGGAUAGAAAUGACUAUGUACAGUU